Molecule: ribosomal RNA, 407 nt
Filed under: uncultured bacterium
Lineage: Bacteria
Also listed under: 1 other name
Description: bacterial SSU rRNA
Rfam family: Bacterial small subunit ribosomal RNA
Source: RNAcentral
UGGGGAAUAUUGGGCAAUGGGGGAAACCCUGACCCAGCAACGCCGCGUGAGGGAAGAAGGCUUUCGAGUUGUAAACCUCUGUCCUAUGGGAAGAAGAAAGUGACUGUACCAUAGGAGGAAGCUCCGGCUAACUACGUGCCAGCAGCCGCGGUAAUACGUAGGGAGCAAGCGUUGUCCGGAAUUACUGGGCGUAAAGGGUGCGUAGGCGGCGCAGUUAGUCAGAAGUGAAAUAUCGGGGCUUAACCCCGGGGCUGCUUCUGAUACUGCUGUGCUCGAGUGCAGGAGAGGUAAGUGGAAUUCCUAGUGUAGCGGUGAAAUGCGUAGAUAUUAGGAGGAACACCAGUGGCGAAGGCGACUUACUGGACUGUAACUGACGCUGAGGCACGAAAGCGUGGGUAGCAAACAGG